Molecule: long non-coding RNA, 246 nt
Filed under: Elaeis guineensis (African oil palm)
Lineage: Eukaryota; Viridiplantae; Streptophyta; Magnoliopsida; Arecales; Arecaceae
Description: long non-coding RNA (EGUI_LNC024560)
Source: RNAcentral
AUCAUAGCUGAUUCUUCUUUUCAUAUAUUGAAAGAAUGAAAGAAAGUAGGAACAAGAUGAUUGAAGAAUCUAAAAGAUAGGUAUUUCUAUCUAUCACAUGGGUCUUUAUAAGGGUUAUGGUGUGGAAAAAAAUAUUUAAGAAUGGAGACAUUAUGUUUUAUUUAUAGAUAUUGCAAGAUGAGAAAUUUUUAUAUUUUUUAAAUAUAAAAUUAAUAAAAUAAAUAAAAAUUAGGUGAUGAAUGAGCA